This 500-nucleotide ribosomal RNA is filed under the name uncultured Glomeromycotina. RNAcentral's name for it is "partial small subunit ribosomal RNA". It matches the Rfam family "Eukaryotic small subunit ribosomal RNA", at positions 591 to 1092 of the family's 1831-position model. Lineage: Eukaryota; Fungi; Glomeromycota. The record is from RNAcentral.
CCAAUAGCGUAUAUUAAAGUUGUUGCAGUUAAAAAGCUCGUAGUUGAAUUUCGGGAUCAGCAUGUCGGUCGUGCCUCUGGUAUGUACUGGUAUCGUUGAUUUCUACCUUCUGACGAACCAUGAUGUCAUUAAUUUGGUGUCAUGGGAAAUCAGGACUGUUACUUUGAAAAAAUUAGAGUGUUUAAAGCAGGCACACGCUUGAAUACAUUAGCAUGGAAUAAUGAAAUAGGACGUUUGGCCCUAUUUUGUUGGUUUCUAGGAUCGACGUAAUGAUUAAUAAGGAUAGUUGGGGGGAUUAGUAUUAAAUUGUCAGAGGUGAAAUUAUUGGAUUUAUUGAAGACUGACUACUGCGAAAGCAUUUGCCAAGGAUGUUUUCAUUAAUCAAGAACGAAAGUUAGGGGAUCGAAGACGAUCAGAUACCGUCGUAGUCUUAACCAUAAACUAUGCCGACUAGGGAUCGGAUGAUGUUAAUUUUUUAAUGACUCAUUCGGCGCCUUACG